RNAcentral lists this ribosomal RNA (329 nucleotides) under uncultured eukaryote. RNAcentral's name for it is "partial 18S ribosomal RNA". It matches the Rfam family "Eukaryotic small subunit ribosomal RNA", at positions 1470 to 1796 of the family's 1831-position model. The record is from RNAcentral.
CCCUUAGAUGUCCUGGGCCGCACGCGCGCUACACUGAGUGUCUGAGAUACGAGUCUGCCUGGUCCGGCAAGGUCUAGGUAAUCGCUAAAAGACACAUCAUGCUUGGGAUAGAUUAUUGCAAAUAUUAAUCUUGAACGAGGAAUUCCUAGUAAGCGCAAGUCAACAGCUUGCGUUGAUUACGUCCCCGCCCUUUGUACACACCGCCCGUCGCUACUACUGAUUGGAUGUUUAAGCGAGGUUCUCGAACUGCUAGCGACUUAGCUUCGGUGAGGUCGCAGUGUGGGAAGUGAACCGAGCUUUGGUGUCUAGAGGAAGUAAAAGUCGUAACA